GACGAACGCUGGCGGCGUGCUUAACACAUGCAAGUCGAACGGAAAGGCCCUGCUUUUGUGGGGUGCUCGAGUGGCGAACGGGUGAGUAACACGUGAGUAACCUGCCCUUGACUUUGGGAUAACUUCAGGAAACUGGGGCUAAUACCGUAUAGGAGCUCCUGCUGCAUGGUGGGGGUUGGAAAGUUUCGGCGGUUGGGGAUGGACUCGCGGCUUAUCAGCUUGUUGGUGGGGGAGUGGCUUACCAAGGCUUUGACGGGUAGCCGGCAUGAGAGGGUGACCGGCCACAAUGGGACUGAGAUACGGCGCAGACUCCUACGGGAGGCAGCAGUGGGGAAUAUUGCACAAUGGGCGGAAGCCUGAUGCAGCAACGCCGCGUUCGGGAUGACGGCCUUCGGGUUGUAAACCGCUUUCGCCUGUGACGAAGCGUGAGUGACGGUAAUGGGUAAAGAAGCACCGGCUAACUACGUG
This 468-nucleotide ribosomal RNA is filed under the name uncultured bacterium. Its description in RNAcentral is "partial 16S ribosomal RNA". It matches the Rfam family "Bacterial small subunit ribosomal RNA", at positions 28 to 507 of the family's 1533-position model. The record is from RNAcentral.